CGUCUAUAUACGUAUAGCAUAUCAAUAAGCGGAGGAAAAGAAACUAACUAGGAUUCCCUUAGUAACGGCGAGUGAAGCGGGAAGAGCUCAAAUUUGAAAUCUUCAAGGUUCUACCUUGACGAAUUGUAGUUUAAAGAAGUGUUUUCUGUUGGAGUUUUUGGUAAAAGUUCUUUGGAAUAGGACAUCAUAGAGGGUGAGAAUCCCGUAUUUGACCAUUUCUUCCAGCUGUGUGAUACACUUUCAAAGAGUCGGAUUGUUUGGGAAUGCAGUCCAAAAUGGGUGGUAAAUUUCAUCUAAAGCUAAAUAUUGGCGAGAGACCGAUAGCGAACAAGUACCGUGAGGGAAAGAUGAAAAGAACUUUGAAAAGAGAGUUAAACAGUACGUGAAAUUGUCAAAAGGGAAGCGUUUGACACCAGUGUUGUUUUCUCGAAAAUCAAUUAAAAAUGGCCGGAUUUUGUGUUGUAUUGACUUUAUCAGCUUUCUGCACUUUUUUCUUGUCUUUUUUUAAUGCACUUUUCGUUUAACAAGUCAACAUCAAUUUCUUUUGUUGUAAAAGGGUCAUUGGAAGGUGGCUUUCUUUUCGGAGAAAGUGUUUAUAGCCUUUGGCUUCUGCAAUCGGAGAGAUUGAGGUCUGCAGCGUAGAUCCUUCGGGGUUAGAUACAUUUGUGCUAAGUUAUAGCCUUUCAUAGACAACUUGUUGACUAUGAUCAGUCAUGUAGCUUACUCGCUUAUGUUAUUUUACCUACGCUUAGGAUGUUGAUCUGUAGUGCGUGCGC
Molecule: ribosomal RNA, 776 nt
Filed under: uncultured Neocallimastigales
Lineage: Eukaryota; Fungi; Neocallimastigomycota; Neocallimastigomycetes; Neocallimastigales
Description: partial large subunit ribosomal RNA
Rfam family: Eukaryotic large subunit ribosomal RNA
Source: RNAcentral